UGGAAUAUCCGAGAGCUGGUCAGGCCUGUUUCUGUCCCUCUUUCCACAUGGCUAGCUUGGGCUUUCUCAUAGUGAGAUGGGCUCAGGGUAUUUGAACUUCUUAUCCUGCAUCAUUCUUCCAAGAUAGAGGAAGCAGAAGCUGCCAGUCUUUCUAAAGGCUGGACCUAGAAUUAGCAGAGUCAUAGCCACAGUAUUCUCUCGAUCUAAACAAGUCACAGGGCCAGGCCAGAUUCAAGGGGCUCCUCACUCUCUUAGUGUGAGGAGUAACAUGCAUAUCAACAAGGAAGGAAGCUAUCAGUGGUGGCUAUCUUUGGAGAUUAUAUGCCACAAUAAUGAGGUGGCUCUUCUCGAACUGCCUGCCUGUCUGUCUUAGAAAUGCUGUAACUCUGUCCCAGUCUGUGCCAAGCAGAGAUGAUGAACAAAGCAGUGUGUGAAGUAGGCUGCUAUUGCACCCUCUUUGCGUCUGACUUGAUGUGGCUGACAUAUUGACAUUAUUUUAUUGCUUUGGUGUGGCAACAGCUCCAGCUAAGCCACCACUGCCAGACACUUGCCCAUCUGUCCUAAAAUAUGACUAAUUACCAUUAUAAUGAUUCUUCAGCUUUAUUAAACUUCUGUCUUCUGCAAAAUCAAAUGAGAUUCAUGAAGACUUUUUCAUUAAUCAUCACAGCAUCCCUGCUGAGAGCUUAAAAGAGGUCAUGAGGCAACAGAAUUCCACAAUGAUAUGGUUGAGGAAAAUGGAGACCUGUCCACAGAGGAGCCCAGCAUCAUAAUGAACAGCCAUCUGGAAUCUUUGGCUUUGGUACCAAACUAAUACUG
RNAcentral lists this long non-coding RNA (816 nucleotides) under Homo sapiens (human). RNAcentral describes it as "HSALNT0191672". Lineage: Eukaryota; Metazoa; Chordata; Mammalia; Primates; Hominidae. The record is from RNAcentral.